CUUACUGCAGUACAGUGCUUUGUAUUCCUGUAAUGUUGUUUUGCAUUGAACACGCCUUACUGUGGUCCCAGAAAUGCUGCAUUUUUAGUUUGGACUCUCUCUCCCUGACAAGGGCGAGCUUACUCUGUUUUUGCAGGAGGUAUCACUGCCUACCAGGCUGUCCCCUGGAAUGAAUUCUACAUGCAGGGACGUCCAUUCUCCAAUCAGCUUUGCACUCGAAUGCAGUUUUCCAGCACUGCAGCAGGACGUUACUCCACAGAGCAGGCUCCCUAUAUUCAGAACCCUGGUAUGAUGCAGCCCACUCCCUGUUUCCUCCAGCUGCCCAAAGGGACAACAUCAGGAUCUGUGGUAUUUACUGAAAAACAAAGGGCAAUGCCAGCACCAGACCAGACUUCAUAUCAGAACCACCAAUUGCAGAUUGCACCAGCUGAAAGAGAGGACCCAGAGAGCAGCAGCAGCAGUGUCACCAAGGAGGAGGAACGUGCUGCUGAUGACAAAGAAGAGAAUACGAAUUGACUUUGCACUUUGAAAUAAACAAGCAGGAAAGGAUGUUGUUGUUAUUAUUAUUAUUAUUAUUAUUAUUAAUAAACACUGCACUAUGAGAGAAACAGAGGAAAGAAGAAUUAAUAUUAUUUGCAAUGGAAGUACUUUUUUGUUUUUUUUAUUGUUGCCAUGAUUGUUCUCCUGCUGAGGAAAGAAGCAGUGAAGUUUCAAUCAAUAAAAGCUUCUGGUCUCUGCUUUUUGCAAAUCUCCUGACUUUUGAGUUUUACUAAGAAAGAUGAUCUUGGUUAUCCUAAAGAAGGUAACAAGGACUCAGUAGACAGGGGUGACUGGAAACCAGGAUCCAUUGGUUACAGAUGGCGCAGAAAGGAGAGUCCUUUGGCUGGAGUAACUAAAGCUUAGGGAGCUGUAGAACGUGAGGAGAGGGCUCCAUUGGGUACCCAGAAUUCAGAAGAUACUGGAAGAUGACUCCAGAGUGGGUAAGAUUCUGGGGAUACAGAUGGGGUAAGGUGGGUUGCAGACCACACAGAAAGGGAGCCCCAGGGAGAAGCUAGUAUAAACAGUGCAGAUAGAGGAACUCCAUGGGUUUAACCCAAUUUCACAGGGUCAACAGAGCAGGAGGGAGAAUGGGGAGCCCAGUGCUAUCCUUAUGGUGUUUGUUUAUAGCAACAUUUAGAAUUUUUAGAAAAUAAAUUAUUGUUGUAACCUGAUGCCCCUCCAUUCAUAAUUCAUUUAACAUUCCCACGGACUUAGUUUGAUGUGGCUUUGAAUGUCUGUUACUAAACCAAACUAAUCAGGGUUAGCAAUGAAGGAUGGGGGGAUUUAAAUAUGCCCGUCUCUGCCUGCACACAAUCCCUGACUGUGACCCAUCAGUUUUUGAGGAAGAAUAACUUUGAUAAAAGGGGAUAGUGGAAGAUGAUGGGGAAAGUCUAAACUGGUAUGUCUUGCAUUUACAUCUAUAUGCUGUCAGGCUCUGUCUCAGUUUAAUCUCUAGUAAAAUAUUCCAUAGCCAGGGUCCUAUUGCUGUCCUUGCUUUUCCCCUAGAACCUGUGAAUCUUGUUCUGGAAAUGUCUACCUGCAUCAUCCCUAUGGAAUAUAGUGGUUUUAGUGAGUUGCAGGUUAUUAUCUUCUGAGAUACCUGGCUAGGGUGGGGCAAAGCACUGUGCAAAUUCAGACUAGGGCCUUGAAUUCAGUCCUAAAAUGGAUAAGGAGACAUUGGAGGUCAUGGAGGACUGAUACAAUGGGUUAAGUUAUGCUCAGUAACGAAUGGGCAGCUGUAUGCUAUAUGAGUUGCGGUUUCUAUGUGAAGUUUUAUCUUCAGCUGCAGAUGUGUGCUGUAGUCUAGCCUGGAGGUGACAAAGGUGUGUAUCACAGUGCUAAGGUCCUUGUGAAAAAGGAGUGUGUUGUCCUAACAAGCUGAAGAUGGCAGAGGAAUGUUCUUUCCCACUGGUACAAUGUGUGUGUCCAGGAGCAACAAGGAGUUUGACCCUGAGGCUUUAUAUUAGACUGAUGGUCUCAAUCAAGGGUGAGGCCCAUGUUUUGUAAAGUGGCCUAAUACAUAUGCUGAAGAGGCUGGAUUACUAUAUUGAACCUUGUGGGAUUUCACAUUGUUACAGUUCUUGGUUAGAACUCUGUGGACUCUCUGAAAGGAAUGUUUGGCCCUUCUUCUGUCUCCUAUAUAUCAUUCAUUAUCUGUUUAUGGCUGACGGUACUGAAAGCUGCUGGAAGAUCAAGCCAUGUAAUCAGGGAUCCUACGUAUUUCAUGAAUCUCGAGCAACAGAAUUUACCAGUGUUCUACAGCAGACUCUUACGUAUUCAUUCUAAAGAGCAAAAAUGUCUAGCCUCUCUGAGUAUGAAGAAAAAGAGAACCAAGUGUAAACUAAUUCAGUGGUCAGCAGACAGCCUAAAUCAAUAACUCUGGGAGAUUGUGAAUGAUAGCUUUUCACCAUGUAAAUGUUAGCUCUGAAGCCUUGUGCUGACAAUGACAGAAGUAAUCUUUUUAGACCGGUGCUGUUUUUGGAUCCCGGUUGGACUGAUGGACAGAGUUGUAGGACUAAGGCCUGCCAGAAAGCCAAACAGAACCAACAACAGAAAACCGUGUCCUAUCUGCCUCUACUCUAAAGAAAUUUAGUUAUUUUUGUAUGGUAAACAUUUUAUUUGUUGUGUUUUGGAUGUUAUAUUUCUGGUAUUACAAAGUCCUUGCACACAUACCCUGUCACUGUGACAUUCCUAGUGAAACCGUGAUUUAGGGAGUUAGACUCAGAAGACUUAAUAUGUGACCUUUCUCACAAAGAUUUGUCAUUAAAUUAUGCAAGUCAGUUUCUAGAACAAAAAAGGGCAUUUCUUCAAAAUUUUGACCGAAAUUUGGCAAUCCUCAGAAUGAUUUGGAUGAAAGUCUAUUGCAUUUACUUUUAUGUUCAUAUCCUAAAUUAGCCAAGUUUCACUUGGUUGCACAUUUUCAGAUAAAAAAAUUUCCACAUACCUAAUCACAAAUAGGUGUGAUGUUCGUGCAUCUGGAGGUGAGUGUGUACCCUAAACAGUAUGUAGAGGGCUCAAUUCCUCCCUAGUGCAGCUCCACUGACUUUCUUUGAGUUAAACCCAGGGUGGUCUAGCCUACUAUGUGUACAAUAUAACUUCACUGAGAUCUUAAAAUCCCAUCACUUUCCACUGUAAUUCCAUAUAUCUACCUUCUCCAAGAUUUGUUCUAAGAAGUCACUAGACUAGAAUUCAGUACAUAAAAUGUGGGGUUAACAGCAUAGUACUGAGGUCAUUUUCAAAGAAAAUGGUUUUACCAGCCUGGAUUUAUUUAAUGGCAAAUGUUAUUGGUUUAAACUCCCUGUGUUCUGCUUACAGACUUUCAUCUAGGAUACAGAAAGUCAAGCUGAAUGCUCAGAUUUGUUCACUUCUGUUUAAGAUGACAGGGCCAUAGUCAGAAUCCCUUAUCUUAUUGAAGGCCUGUGUUUCCUCAGCCGGUAUUAGACAUAGACAGGAAUUGGCCUGCUUCUGUUUGAUUAACAUAUCCUGU
Caretta caretta (loggerhead turtle) is the source of this 3526-nucleotide RNA transcript. It is a transcript of the gene named homeobox protein NOBOX-like, with no coding region annotated. The record is from RefSeq and is a predicted model, not a curated record. NCBI's taxonomy places the organism in Eukaryota, Metazoa, Chordata, Testudines, Cheloniidae.